CUUUGUAGUUAAUCCGAUUGUUGUUCCGUAACAGGGUGCUGCUCGCAAAUUAGCUACACAGAGAAAGAAUAUAGAGGUCGCUGAAUUUGCUGGUGUAGCAGCGAAGCGAGUGAAGCUGCUAGCAUAUUUAAUUAAAAAAGAAGGGAUCAAUGUACUUUUAUUAAAACACGACCAACAACAACAACGACUAGGGUUCCCUUUCCCACUUCAACAGAGAUUCAGCGGCAACAGAUUCUGACAGACAUGAGUCAAGAAAGACCUUCAAAGCCCAAAAGAAAGACAAGUGCGACAUACGCAAAACCUGGAACAAUGGCAUUUUUGGCAAAUCAAAUAAGGAGUUCGUUUAGCCAAAAAUAUGGUGUUCCCGCUAGACAAUCAAAGAAAGAUCUUUCGAAUAUUAUUGAAGAGAAUCUGCCACAAUAUCCAGGAGUAGUAGCCUAUGUACAAACUAGAUCAACCACUGCUGCAAAAUAUGUUGUUCCUGCUAAACAAUCAAACAAAGAGCAUCCGAAUAUUAUUGAAGAGAAUCUGCUACUGCCACAAUAUUCAGGAGUGGCAGCUCAUGUACAAACUAGAUCAACCACUCCUGCCACACAAGUAAUAGAUGAACAAGUGGAGGAAUAAGUUCAGUUGGAUUCUACAACUCCUACUGUAGAUGAACAAUCUGAAGAACAAGGCCAUUCUAUUCAACCAAGAAAAAGAGGUAGAACAAAGAUGAAAAAUGUACAUGGACGCCAGGAGCGUAAAGUGAUUUUACUUAACCACUUAAAUCAACCCGUUGGUCCUAGCGAAAAAGUUAUGACGGAGUUUGGAAGCUUCCUCGGCACAUUGCAAGGAAUGCGACUCUAUGUCCUCUUGAUAUUUUGGAUUGGAGGAAGAUGGACACAAAAGAGGAUAUAUGGGAAUAUACCAAGGUCUGAACUUCUUAAUUUUUAGUU
Long non-coding RNA from Nicotiana attenuata, 938 nucleotides. RefSeq lists it as uncharacterized. The transcript has 4 exons. NCBI's taxonomy places the organism in Eukaryota, Viridiplantae, Streptophyta, Magnoliopsida, Solanales, Solanaceae. The record is from RefSeq and is a predicted model, not a curated record.